AGAGUUUGAUCAUGGCUCAGAACGUACGCUGGCGGCACGCCUUAUACAUGCAAGUCGAACGAAGUAGCAAUACUUAGUGGCAGACGGGUGAGUAACAUGUAGGUAUCUUCCCUUUGGUGAGGAAUAACACGAGGAAACUUGUGCUAAUACCUCAUAAGUCUUUACGGAGAAAGCUUUAUGCGCCGAAAGAUGAGCCUGCACUUGAUUAGUUUGUUGGUGGGGUAAUGGCCUACCAAGACUUUGAUCUAUAGCUGAUCUGAAAGGAUGAUCAGCCACAUUGGGACUGAGACACGGCCCAAACUCCUACGGGAGGCAGCAGUAGGGAAUAUUGCACAAUGGAGGAAACUCUGAUGCAGCGAUGCCGCGUGAGUGAAGAAGGCCUUUGGGUUGUAAAGCUCUUUCGUCGGGGAAGAAAAUGACUGUACCCGAAUAAGAAGGUCCGGCUAACUUCGUGCCAGCAGCCGCGGUAAUACGAAGGGACCUAGCGUAGUUCGGAAUUACUGGGCUUAAAGAGUUCGUAGGUGGUUAAAAAAGUUGGUGGUGAAAUCCCAGAGCUUAACUCUGGAACUGCCAUCAAAACUUUUUAGCUAGAGUAUGACAGAGGAAAGCAGAAUUUCUAGUGUAGAGGUGAAAUUCGUAGAUAUUAGAAAGAAUACCAAUUGCGAAGGCAGCUUUCUGGAUCAUUACUGACGCUGAGGAACGAAAGCAUGGGUAGCGAAGAGGAUUAGAUACCCUCGUAGUCCAUGCCGUAAACGAUGUGUGUUAGACGUUGGAAAUUUAUUUUCAGUGUCGCAGCGAAAGCGUUAAACACACCGCCUGGGGAGUACGACCGCAAGGUUAAAACUCAAAUGAAUUGACGGGGACCCGCACAAGUAGUGGAGCAUGUGGUUUAAUUCGAAGAUACGCGCAGAACCUUACCAACACUUGACAUGUUCGUCGCGACUCUAAGAGAUUAGAGUUUUCGGUUCGGCCGGACGAAACACAGGUGCUGCAUGGCUGUCGUCAGCUCGUGUCGUGAGAUGUUGGGUUAAGUCCCGCAACGAGCGCAACCCUCACUUUUAGUUGCCAUCAUUUAGUUGGGCACUCUGAAAGAACUGCCAGUGAU
RNAcentral lists this ribosomal RNA (1105 nucleotides) under marine metagenome. Its description in RNAcentral is "bacterial SSU rRNA". It matches the Rfam family "Bacterial small subunit ribosomal RNA", at positions 8 to 1159 of the family's 1533-position model. The record is from RNAcentral.